Molecule: ribosomal RNA, 765 nt
Filed under: Georgenia satyanarayanai
Lineage: Bacteria; Bacillati; Actinomycetota; Actinomycetes; Allobogoriellales; Allobogoriellaceae
Description: bacterial SSU rRNA
Rfam family: Bacterial small subunit ribosomal RNA
Source: RNAcentral
UGAGCCCAGCUUGCUGGGUGGAUUAGUGGCGAACGGGUGAGUAACACGUGAGUAACCUGCCCCUGACUUCGGGAUAACUUCGAGAAAUCGUGGCUAAUACCGGAUAUGACACGUGCCUGCAUGGGUGUGUGUGGAAAGAUUUAUCGGUUGGGGAUGGGCUCGCGGCCUAUCAGCUUGUUGGUGGGGUGAUGGCCUACCAAGGCGACGACGGGUAGCCGGCCUGAGAGGGUGACCGGCCACACUGGGACUGAGACACGGCCCAGACUCCUACGGGAGGCAGCAGUGGGGAAUAUUGCACAAUGGGCGCAAGCCUGAUGCAGCGACGCCGCGUGAGGGAUGACGGCCUUCGGGUUGUAAACCUCUUUCAGUAGGGAAGAAGCCCUUCGGGGUGACGGUACCUGCAAAAGAAGCGCCGGCUAACUACGUGCCAGCACCCGCGGUAAUACGUAGGGCGCAAGCGUUGUCCGGAAUUAUUGGGCGUAAAGAGCUCGUACGCGGUUUGUCGCGUCUGCUGUGAAAACGCAAGGCUUAACCUUGCGCCUGCAGUGGGUACGGGCAGACUAGAGUGCGGUAGGGGAGACUGGAAUUCCUGGUGUAGCGGUGGAAUGCGCAUAUAUCAAGAAGAACACCGAUGGCGAGCGCAUGUCUCUGGGCCGUUACUGACUCUGAAGAGCGAAAGCAUGGAGAGCGAACAAGAUUAUAUACCCUGGUACUCCAUGCCGUACACGUUGCGCACUAUGUGUGAUAUCCAUUCCACGGUUUCCG